UCCUCAGCCCCCUGUGUCUGGGCAGAUACCAGCCAAUUCCCCGAGAAGUUUCCCCUCCUGCAUCAGGGAGAAUGAGACUUUGGCGCCACUUACUUUUCAUUGUAGCGGCUUUGGCAGGGGCCCGUUCGCAGGUUGUUCUGACCCAGUCGGGUCUCGAAGUGAAGCAGCCCGGGGAAUCCACCCAGCUGAAAUGCGCCGUGAGCGGGUUUGUUCCUAACGACUGGUGGAUGGACUGGGUCAGGCAGCAGCCGGGAAAGGGACUGGAGUGGCUGGUUCACUAUCACAAAUCUUCAGUCACGAAUUACUACUCCGCCUCCAUCCAGGGGCGAUUCACAGCCUCCAAGGACAGCGCCAACUUCUACCUGCAAAUGACCGGCCUGAAGCCCGAGGACACCGCCGUGUAUUACUGUGCGAGAGACACAGUGCGGGGAAGCGAGUUUGAGCUCAAACAAAAACCUCCCCCUGCAGAGACCAGGGAAGGCAGCAGCUCUGCUCCCCAGCACUGA
Mauremys reevesii (Reeves's turtle) is the source of this 506-nucleotide non-coding RNA. NCBI's taxonomy places the organism in Eukaryota, Metazoa, Chordata, Testudines, Geoemydidae. The record is from the annotation of a RefSeq genome assembly.